This 322-nucleotide ribosomal RNA is filed under the name uncultured eukaryote. RNAcentral's name for it is "partial 18S ribosomal RNA". It matches the Rfam family "Eukaryotic small subunit ribosomal RNA", at positions 1470 to 1796 of the family's 1831-position model. The record is from RNAcentral.
CCCUUAGAUGUUCUGGGCCGCACGCGUGCUACACUGAGUGGAUCAGCGGGUCAGGUUGCGCGAAAGCGUUUCCUAAUCUUUAAAUCCGCUCGUGAUGGGGAUUGACAGUUGCAAUUUUCUGUCAUGAACGAGGAAUACCUUGUAAGCGCGGGUCAUCAUCCCGCGCUGAAUACGUCCCUGCCCUUUGUACACACCGCCCGUCGCUCCUACCGAUUGAGUGGUCCGGUGAGGCUUUGGGAUCUGAGCGGAAAGAGCGUUUCGCUGUUUCUGCCCGGAAAACUCAGUCGAACCUUAUCAUUUAGAGGAAGGAGAAGUCGUAACA